UUUCUCCAUUUUCAAUUUCAUUUUCGCUGGAGUAGAGCUUGAUGAGACGAUUUUGCCCCUGCUUGCCGGCUAAAAGGGGAUCGAGAUCUCGCGAGCUACCGGCCAUGGCUCGACGCGCCGCAGCCGCCGACGGAGAGUCCCGUCGCCGCCUUGCCGCUCCUCAUCCUCCUCGUCUUUCUCCUCUCAACUUCACUCGGUAUGGUCGCCACACCGGUGCGAGAAACUCGAUGUUGGUUUCUUCGCAUUCCAGGCUUGUUCUGACGCGCUCGCGUACCGUUGUGUUUGCAGGGGCGUGCAGUUCGGCGAGCAAGAGGGGCGGCGACGGGCGACAGCGGCGGUGCGGUAGCGGAUGAGGCGUACUACUCCAGCUGGGAAUCGGCAGUGGCGG
This 388-nucleotide long non-coding RNA is filed under the name Oryza sativa (Asian cultivated rice). RNAcentral's name for it is "long non-coding RNA (OSAT_LNC000740)". Lineage: Eukaryota; Viridiplantae; Streptophyta; Magnoliopsida; Poales; Poaceae. The record is from RNAcentral.